GAAGGGUUCCCUUUUCUCCAGGUCCAGCUCCCCCCCCUCAUAUGGGAGAGCUGGACCAGGAACGACUGACCAGACAGCAAGAACUCACAGCCUUAUACCAGAUGCAGCACCUGCAGUACCAGCAGUUUUUAAUACAACAACAAUAUGCACAGGUUUUGGCCCAACAGCAGAAAGCAGCCCUGUCUUCCCAGCAGCAGCAGCAGUUGGCACUUCUUCUUCAACAGUUUCAGACCUUGAAGAUGAGAAUAUCUGAUCAGAACAUCAUUCCCUCAGUAACUAGGUCUGUGUCCGUGCCAGAUACUGGCUCUAUCUGGGAGCUUCAGCCAACAGCUUCACAGCCUACAGUUUGGGAAGGUGGUAGUGUAUGGGAUCUUCCUCUGGACACCACGACACCAGGCCCUGCCCUGGAACAGCUUCAGCAGCUAGAGAAGGCCAAAGCUGCAAAGGUCUGAAACUCAUUCUUCUGCAACAGUGCAUUGUCAUCUGGCUGCAGGACAUAAACAUUGCUGUUUAUUCAUCUCUCUAGCUAGCUAUGCUUUUUACUUUCAGCUUACUGCUGCUUAGCUGGUAUAAGUACAUUCAUAUUGUAUCUUUACUGUGCUCUCUUCUCCCAAAAAA
Molecule: small RNA, 618 nt
Filed under: Pan troglodytes (chimpanzee)
Lineage: Eukaryota; Metazoa; Chordata; Mammalia; Primates; Hominidae
Description: retained intron
Source: RNAcentral